This 366-nucleotide long non-coding RNA is filed under the name Oreochromis niloticus (Nile tilapia). Its description in RNAcentral is "lncRNA (ENSONIG00000033952.1)". Lineage: Eukaryota; Metazoa; Chordata; Actinopteri; Cichliformes; Cichlidae. The record is from RNAcentral.
AUGCUGAGGGACAACGACACUCAAAACGCUACAAAAACCAUCACGUCCUUGGCUGAGACAGGCACUGGGACCAGGACCGGGACCAGGACCGGGACCAGGACCUUUAAACAGCUUUGUAAAAAGAGAGUGUCUGGGGAUUUUGCAGCUGGAGUCGGUGUUUUUCCUGUGUCUGCCCUCGUGGGUGGAGUCCCUGGUGUCUCACCUGAGUUCCAUCCACGGUUAAUCAGCAGAAGGUUCUUGAGGCCAGCGCUGUCCUCCACUCGCCACCAGUUUGUCAGCUACGUUCUGUUAGUGGUCAAUCUACAGACGCAUCCACUGCUGAAGCUUCUAUCGGACGCUGGUCAUACCUGGAAAGUUCAUCUGUAA